This 120-nucleotide ribosomal RNA is filed under the name uncultured bacterium. RNAcentral describes it as "partial 16S ribosomal RNA". It matches the Rfam family "Bacterial small subunit ribosomal RNA", at positions 796 to 914 of the family's 1533-position model. The record is from RNAcentral.
CUAGCCGUAAACGAUGGACACUAGGUGUCGGGGGUGUCGACUCCCUCGGUGCCGAAGCUAACGCAUUAAGUGUCCCGCCUGGGGAGUACGGCCGCAAGGCUAAAACUCAAAGGAAUUGAC